Molecule: small nucleolar RNA, 123 nt
Organism: Mus spicilegus (steppe mouse)
Lineage: Eukaryota; Metazoa; Chordata; Mammalia; Rodentia; Muridae
Product: predicted gene, 23010
Source: Ensembl
CCUGUCCCUAGGGGCGUAGGUGUGGCUGCUGUGUCACCGAUGAGUCAUAGUUGACAGAGAGAGGCUAUGUCUACACUCAGUGUUCUGAUCCGUGAACAUCUGAGCGAUUAGUAACCUAACAUC